ACGCUGGCGGCGUGCCUAAUACAUGCAAGUCGAACGAGUUCUGAUUAUUGAAAGGUGCUUGCAUCUUGAUUUAAUUUUGAACGAGUGGCGGACGGGUGAGUAACACGUGGGUAACCUGCCCUUAAGUGGGGGAUAACAUUUGGAAACAGAUGCUAAUACCGCAUAAAUCCAAGAACCGCAUGGUUCUUGGCUGAAAGAUGGCGUAAGCUAUCGCUUUUGGAUGGACCCGCGGCGUAUUAGCUAGUUGGUGAGGUAACGGCUCACCAAGGCAAUGAUACGUAGCCGAACUGAGAGGUUGAUCGGCCACAUUGGGACUGAGACACGGCCCAAACUCCUACGGGAGGCAGCAGUAGGGAAUCUUCCACAAUGGACGCAAGUCUGAUGGAGCAACGCCGCGUGAGUGAAGAAGGCUUUCGGGUCGUAAAACUCUGUUGUUGGAGAAGAAUGGUCGGCAGAGUAACUGUUGUCGGCGUGACGGUAUCCAACCAGAAAGCCACGGCUAACUACGUGCCAGCAGCCGCGGUAAUACGUAGGUGGCAAGCGUUAUCCGGAUUUAUUGGGCGUAAAGCGAGCGCAGGCGGUUUUUUAAGUCUGAUGUGAAAGCCCUCGGCUUAACCGAGGAAGUGCAUCGGAAACUGGGAAACUUGAGUGCAGAAGAGGACAGUGGAACUCCAUGUGUAGCGGUGAAAUGCGUAGAUAUAUGGAAGAACACCAGUGGCGAAGGCGGCUGUCUGGUCUGUAACUGACGCUGAGGCUCGAAAGCAUGGGUAGCGAACAGGAUUAGAUACCCUGGUAGUCCAUGCCGUAAACGAUGAAUGCUAGGUGUUGGAGGGUUUCCGCCCUUCAGUGCCGCAGCUAACGCAUUAAGCAUUCCGCCUGGGGAGUACGACCGCAAGGUUGAAACUCAAAGGAAUUGACGGGGGCCCGCACAAGCGGUGGAGCAUGUGGUUUAAUUCGAAGCAACGCGAAGAACCUUACCAGGUCUUGACAUCUUUUGAUCACCUGAGAGAUCAGGUUUCCCCUUCGGGGGCAAAAUGACAGGUGGUGCAUGGUUGUCGUCAGCUCGUGUCGUGAGAUGUUGGGUUAAGUCCCGCAACGAGCGCAACCCUUAUGACUAGUUGCCAGCAUUUAGUUGGGCACUCUAGUAAGACUGCCGGUGACAAACCGGAGGAAGGUGGGGAUGACGUCAAAUCAUCAUGCCCCUUAUGACCUGGGCUACACACGUGCUACAAUGGAUGGUACAACGAGUUGCGAGACCGCGAGGUCAAGCUAAUCUCUUAAAGCCAUUCUCAGUUCGGACUGUAGGCUGCAACUCGCCUACACGAAGUCGGAAUCGCUAGUAAUCGCGGAUCAGCACGCCGCGGUGAAUACGUUCCCGGGCCUUGUACACACCGCCCGUCACACCAUGAGAGUUUGUAACACCCGAAGCCGGUGGCGUAACCCUUUUAGGGAGCGAGCCGUCUAAGGUGGGACAAAUGAUUAGGGUGAAGU
RNAcentral lists this ribosomal RNA (1491 nucleotides) under Lacticaseibacillus rhamnosus. RNAcentral's name for it is "bacterial SSU rRNA". It matches the Rfam family "Bacterial small subunit ribosomal RNA". Lineage: Bacteria; Bacillati; Bacillota; Bacilli; Lactobacillales; Lactobacillaceae. The record is from RNAcentral.